GGUACCAAAGUUUGGCUGCCGAUGUGAAGGGCUCCGGGGGGCCGAGUCCGGGGCGGCUCCGGUUUAAAACACGGCUGGGCCGCUCACCGAGCAGCGUGGGGACCGUUGCUCUCUGGAUGUCGGUGACUCCGGCUGGGAUAAUCGCCGCAAACCCGGUGCAAAUGGGCCUUCCUGAAGGAUCGUCAUUCGCUUUUACCCACUGGAGCCCUGGCAGAUUGGCAAGAACAGAACAGUCAUGACUUUCCUGUGACCCCUCAAGCGGCCGUUUGGAACAAAGCAGCAAUGAAGACAACCCAGAGAUGGCCUGCUCCAUCUACCUUUCCUCUUAAAUCAGCUCUAAUCGUUCUGCACCUUCACCUAUGUGAUUCUCUUCUGCUUUUGGACAUUGUGCAUAUAAAGAGUGGGGCAUUCAGGUGUACCGUUAUCAGCAAAGUAGUUCAAAGUCCUUGUCUCAAGCCUUCCUUGUAGCACUGUGUCUGAUUUUAUGCUCUGUGGUCUACCAUUGCCAGCUGCCGGUGGCUGCUCCCACAAAGUUUUGUUUGCCCACAGAAUCUUUGUGGCUGGAUGUUUGUUGUCAGUGGCUGUGUGUAGAGGAUGGAGCUGCUAGUGAAGAGCUGCACUAUGCCACAGGAAAAUGUUGUGAAAGUUCUGCCUUUCCUACCUUUAAUCGCUGUUGUUAACCCUGGUGUUCAAAAUAGUUUUCAUUUCCUCACUCUUACAGGGAGUUUUGGAAAAGGAUAGACAUCUCGCUGUGCCCUGUGGCUGAUUUUUUCAGCUGCUUGCCCUAAGCAGAGGGGCUGCUGUAGUUGUCUGCAAGUGACUUAGCACACAGGCAGCAUUCUGCCUAUUGCACUCAACCUUAAAACUUCCGUUGCUGUUGCACUUCACUCUAAAGUGUUUUGGAUUUUAGGACCUAUAUGCUCCAUCACUUUAUAACUGGAAUGUACAUAGUAUUUUACUAAAACAAAAGCACAGUUAUUUCAGCCUUCCACAUGAGAACGUGUAUAGACUUUCCCUCCACUUUGGGACUUUGUCAGGUGCCAGGCACAAAAGCAAAGAGGACUUAAUUGCAUGCCCUUGAGAGGUAGAGAUCCAUUAAACACAAGGCUGAAGAGUCUCCACUUCUUCAUAAUCCUGAUUAGAUUUUUGUUUGUUUAUGUCUUGAGCUCUCAAGCUAGUUGAAAAUUCCCCUUCUAAUUAUCACUUGAAUUUAGUUAUACUUACGCAGCGUAAGUAUCUUCUGUGUUUGCAAAAUCCCCCCUUAGGGGGAGCUGUGCUAUCUGAUUAAUAAAAUGUAUCAAAACCUCUUUUGAUGAGCA
Molecule: non-coding RNA, 1319 nt
Organism: Meleagris gallopavo (turkey)
Lineage: Eukaryota; Metazoa; Chordata; Aves; Galliformes; Phasianidae
Source: RefSeq, a predicted model, not a curated record